CCUACGGGUGGCAGCAGUGAGGAAUAUUGGUCAAUGGACGAGAGUCUGAACCAGCCAAGUAGCGUGAAGGAUGACUGCCCUAUGUAUUGUAAACUUCUUUUAUAUGGGAGUAAAAUGUUCCACGUGUGGGCUUUUGUAUGUCCCAUAUGAAUAAGGAUCGGCUAACUCCGUGCCAGCAGCCGCGGUAAUACGGAGGAUCCGAGCGUUAUCCGGAUUUAUUGGGUUUAAAGGGAGCGUAGGUGGAUUGUUAAGUCAGUUGUGAAAGUUUGCGGCGCAACCGUACAAUUGCAGUUGAAACUGGCAGUCUUGAGUACAGUAGAGGUGGGCGGAAUUCGUGGUGUAGCGGUGAAAUGCUUAGAUAUCACGAAGAACUCCGAUUGCGAAGGCAGCUCACUGGACUGCAACUGACACUGAGGCUCGAAAGUGUGGGUAUCAAACAGGAUUAGAUACCCUUGUAGUC
Molecule: ribosomal RNA, 460 nt
Filed under: uncultured bacterium
Lineage: Bacteria
Description: partial 16S ribosomal RNA
Rfam family: Bacterial small subunit ribosomal RNA
Source: RNAcentral